AGUGUCCUUCGGGGUUUGGGUGAAAGUCCCGACCGGCGGUGAUGAGGCUGUUAAAUUGUCUCUUAGUCCGUGACCCGGUUUUGUUAUUAAGCAAAAACGGUGGAUUCGGUGUAAGUCCGAAGCCGACAGUAUAGUCUGGAUGGGAGAAGGAACGU
This 155-nucleotide non-coding RNA is filed under the name Fictibacillus arsenicus. RNAcentral's name for it is "FMN sequence". It matches the Rfam family "FMN riboswitch aptamer (RFN element)". Rfam says of the family: The RFN element is a highly conserved domain that is found frequently in the 5'-untranslated regions of prokaryotic mRNAs that encode for flavin mononucleotide (FMN) biosynthesis and transport proteins. This element is a metabolite-dependent riboswitch that directly binds FMN in the absence of proteins. Lineage: Bacteria; Bacillati; Bacillota; Bacilli; Caryophanales; Fictibacillaceae. The record is from Rfam by way of RNAcentral.